This 71-nucleotide non-coding RNA is filed under the name Spodoptera frugiperda (fall armyworm). The record is from RNAcentral. Lineage: Eukaryota; Metazoa; Arthropoda; Insecta; Lepidoptera; Noctuidae.
AACAUUAUGUACGAUUGGUACGGCGCUGUAGACGUCUCGGACUGUCCCGUACAAAACGUAGAUAAUGUUCA